GACGAACGCUGGCGGCGUGCCUAAUACAUGCAAGUAGAACGCUGAAGAGAGGAGCUUGCUCUUCUUGGAUGAGUUGCGAACGGGUGAGUAACGCGUAGGUAACCUGCCUUGUAGCGGGGGAUAACUAUUGGAAACGAUAGCUAAUACCGCAUAACAAUGGAUGACACAUGUCAUUUAUUUGAAAGGGGCAAUUGCUCCGCUACAAGAUGGACCUGCGUUGUAUUAGCUAGUAGGUGAGGUAAUGGCUCACCUAGGCGACGAUACAUAGCCGACCUGAGAGGGUGAUCGGCCACACUGGGACUGAGACACGGCCCAGACUCCUACGGGAGGCAGCAGUAGGGAAUCUUCGGCAAUGGGGGCAACCCUGACCGAGCAACGCCGCGUGAGUGAAGAAGGUUGUCGGAUCGUAAAGCUCUGUUGUAAGUCAAGAACGGGUGUGAGAGUGGAAAGUUCACACUGUGACGGUAGCUUACCAGAAAGGGACGGCUAACUACGUG
RNAcentral lists this ribosomal RNA (497 nucleotides) under uncultured bacterium. RNAcentral describes it as "partial 16S ribosomal RNA". It matches the Rfam family "Bacterial small subunit ribosomal RNA", at positions 28 to 507 of the family's 1533-position model. The record is from RNAcentral.